Molecule: non-coding RNA, 83 nt
Organism: Tricholoma furcatifolium
Lineage: Eukaryota; Fungi; Basidiomycota; Agaricomycetes; Agaricales; Tricholomataceae
Source: the annotation of a GenBank genome assembly
GUUUCGGUACACUCUGCGGUAGAGCAUGCGAUUGCAGUUGAUAAAAUAUCGCAGAGUCCGGUGUUCGAUCCAUUGUCGGGACU